This 317-nucleotide ribosomal RNA is filed under the name uncultured bacterium. RNAcentral's name for it is "bacterial SSU rRNA". It matches the Rfam family "Bacterial small subunit ribosomal RNA", at positions 85 to 422 of the family's 1533-position model. The record is from RNAcentral.
CGCAAGGGGAGUGGCAGACGGGUGAGUAACACGUGGGAACCUUCCCUAUAGUACGGAAUAGCCCAGGGAAACUUGGAGUAAUACCGUAUACGCCCGAAAGGGGAAAGAAUUUCGCUAUAGGAUGGGCCCGCGUAGGAUUAGCUAGUUGGUGGGUAUGGCUCACCAAGGCGACGAUCCUUAGCUGGUUUGAGAGAACGACCAGCCACACUGGGACUGAGACACGGCCCAGACUCCUACGGGAGGCAGCAGUGGGGAAUAUUGGACAAUGGGCGCAAGCCUGAUCCAGCCAUGCCGCGUGAGUGAUGAAGGCCUUAGGG